RNAcentral lists this unclassified non-coding RNA (575 nucleotides) under Fusarium keratoplasticum. RNAcentral's name for it is "sequence contains 18S rRNA gene, ITS1, 5.8S rRNA gene, ITS2, 28S rRNA gene". The stretch from base 198 to 351 matches the Rfam family "5.8S ribosomal RNA". Lineage: Eukaryota; Fungi; Ascomycota; Sordariomycetes; Hypocreales; Nectriaceae. The record is from RNAcentral.
AGUCGUAACAAGGUCUCCGUUGGUGAACCAGCGGAGGGAUCAUUACCGAGUUAUACAACUCAUCAACCCUGUGAACAUACCUAAAACGUUGCUUCGGCGGGAACAGACGGCCCCGUAACACGGGCCGCCCCCGCCAGAGGACCCCCUAACUCUGUUUCUAUUAUGUUUCUUCUGAGUAAAACAAGCAAAUAAAUUAAAACUUUCAACAACGGAUCUCUUGGCUCUGGCAUCGAUGAAGAACGCAGCGAAAUGCGAUAAGUAAUGUGAAUUGCAGAAUUCAGUGAAUCAUCGAAUCUUUGAACGCACAUUGCGCCCGCCAGUAUUCUGGCGGGCAUGCCUGUUCGAGCGUCAUUACAACCCUCAGGCCCCCGGGCCUGGCGUUGGGGAUCGGCGAGGCGCCCCCUGCGGGCACACGCCGUCCCCCAAAUACAGUGGCGGUCCCGCCGCAGCUUCCAUUGCGUAGUAGCUAACACCUCGCAACUGGAGAGCGGCGCGGCCACGCCGUAAAACCCCCAACUUCUGAAUGUUGACCUCGAAUCAGGUAGGAAUACCCGCUGAACCUAAGCAUAUCAAUA